This 401-nucleotide ribosomal RNA is filed under the name uncultured bacterium. Its description in RNAcentral is "bacterial SSU rRNA". It matches the Rfam family "Bacterial small subunit ribosomal RNA", at positions 975 to 1375 of the family's 1533-position model. The record is from RNAcentral.
CUACUCUUGACAUCCACGGAAUUUGGCAGAGAUGCCUUAGUGCCUUCGGGAACCGUGAGACAGGUGCUGCAUGGCUGUCGUCAGCUCGUGUUGUGAAAUGUUGGGUUAAGUCCCGCAACGAGCGCAACCCUUAUCCUUUGUUGCCAGCGAUUCGGUCGGGAACUCAAAGGAGACUGCCGGUGAUAAACCGGAGGAAGGUGGGAUGACGUCAAGUCAUCAUGGCCCUUAUGUCCAGGGCUACACGCGUACUACAAUGGCCGAUACAGAGGGUUGCCAAGUCGCGAGACGGAGCUAAUCCCAGAAAGUCGGUCGUAGUCCGGAUCGGAGUCUGCAACUCGACUCCGUGAAGUCGGAAUCGCUAGUAAUCGCGAAUCAGCGCUUGUCGCGGUGAAUACGUUCCC